Molecule: long non-coding RNA, 1825 nt
Organism: Dermochelys coriacea (leatherback sea turtle)
Lineage: Eukaryota; Metazoa; Chordata; Testudines; Dermochelyidae
Exons: 3
Source: RefSeq, a predicted model, not a curated record
UCCCACUCUUGUAAAGAUGGGGGGGAUUCAACCUGUGUCUCCCACAUCCCAGCACUUUUCCCAAGAUAGUCAUCACCUAGCAGAGAGCACCGAGUAACCCAAUCUGAUGUAGGACUGUUUCCCAGACAGGGUUCCCCUCUGCCCCAAAGAAGAUUCAGACCACAAAAAAUUUGAACAUUCUCAUAAUUUGUGGGUGUGAUAUCAUCAGUCCUCCGUGGUUUCUGUUCCAUCUAUGAAUUCAAAGAUUUUUGCUGCACACAGUAGCAGCACACUUAACACUGCCACCGAAGUUAUUGCUAUCCUGGGAUUUGAGUGAAAUCUCCUUAAAGCUGGUGGAUGUAACAGCAACCCUUCAUCCAUGCAAAAUAUACAAAACCAUUAAACUCAUUUAUGGAAUGAGAGAACUGAAACAAGAAGAACUACCACCCAAACUACAGGCCAAAUCUGAGCUAUGUGGGGAGAGGGGUUUCACUGUGGGUAUAAUGCGUUUUGUUUUUGGUGGAGCUUUGUGUGAGAAGAGAUGCACCAGAGAAGCUGACAGAGAAGCAGCAGAAAGCCAAGGUGACAUCAGGACAACCACUGGGAGUGUAGGCCUGAGAAAAAACCCUUGCAAGGGAGACCUUUUGGGGUAGAGUGCUGCUCUGAAAGAGGCUUGGAAUUAUGAGCAAAGAGACUGUCUUCUGAUGUUUGAUUCCUGCUUUGUUCAAUGUACAUUCUUUGUAAAUAAACAGGGUUGUAUCAAAGAAAUACCUGACUCCAGCAUCAACUUCUCCUAAGAGAAACAACCUGUAGGACCCCAUAUAUUGGUUAAUUGCUCGAGUCAAGAGAGGUAAUAUUAUUUUCAGUCUAUAGAAACACUACGUUACUCCAGAUGACAUCAAAGUAAUCAUGAGAAACCUGUGGUCUCAUCAGCAGUGGUGAAGUAGUAGACAUGAAAAGAAUCACAUACAACUCUUAUAAAUGUACAGUGGCCUCAGGUGAGGGUGAAGAAUAGAAGGUGCAUAGGCCUUCAUGAGGGUCCAGCUACAUAGCCCUGGCAGGUAGCACUCCUAGUCAUUACUGCAGUGUUAGAAAUGGAUGGGAGGCUAAGGGCUCUGGAGAGAGGAAAGAAAUCUCAUAGCAAGAGGCUCAAUUUGCUUUUUUAAGCCACAAGUCUGGGUGCAUCGGGGACCUUUCUGUGGGCCAAUGUUAAAAACAUACACAGUUUGAGGGAAUGUUACUGUCAAAUGUUAUGAAACGCCUCUUUGUUUUACUUAUUGUUGUAAAUUUGGAGAGGUGAUGAGAUGCUCCUCCCCCUACCCUCCUUUCUCACUUUGAGGUGCUCUCUCUGCUAUCUUCUCUUCUGCCUGCCCCUGUUCCCCUCACACCAUUCUCAGUCUCCUGACUUUCUUGCAACAUCCACAGUUUCUCUUUUUUUUUGUCCUUACCCUCUCUCUUUUGUCAUCUCACAUCCCUUUCCUCUCUUUGAUGCCCCCUCUUAUCUCUUAUUCUCAUCCUUCCUUUGCCCCUCAUUCUCUCCUCCUGCCCACACAGACUUCCUGUGGUGGGGGAGGAGCACUACGUGCCCCACUGCAUACUGAGCUACUCCUAUUAUACAUGUGAAGUUUCUCCCUUGUAUGACUUUCACCAACCAUAAAAGAAACAGACAGCAUGUUAUCUUCUAGAUAUAAAAUUACUUCAGAGAACACAAUGACUCUCCCUGUAAGGUGUCACAAAUUGUACUUCUGAAGCAAUGAAGUCUUCUCUGAUCUCUGUAUGUGUGUCCAAGAUGAACUAUGUUAUAUGUAAAAAUGAGAUCUAAACAAUAUAAUAAAACUAGCUUCAU